Long non-coding RNA from Hydra vulgaris (swiftwater hydra), 896 nucleotides. RefSeq lists it as uncharacterized. NCBI's taxonomy places the organism in Eukaryota, Metazoa, Cnidaria, Hydrozoa, Anthoathecata, Hydridae. The record is from RefSeq and is a predicted model, not a curated record.
GAGUUUCACACUGUAAUGUACACACACACACACACUGUAAUGUACACGCACACUCGCACAAACACACACAAGCCCACACACUAAAAUACUACAUAGAAUAUUUUCCAUUAUACUUCAUUCCUAGUCAAAAUGGCAAUAAAAUGUAAAACUUAUUUUUAAAACCAGACAACAUUUUAUGGAUUAAGCGCAUUUGUUGAAACUGUUAUUAGUCAUUUUUUAGUGUGCGGUGUUUUGGUAAAUAAAUCUCCAAUAAACGCAUUCUAUUAUUUAUAAUGCUAACGUAUCCACAUGAUAAAAAAAGUUGAUUCUUCAUCAGAACUAAAUCCUGGCAAUCUUCCUUCUGCAUUUCUCAAUGAUGGUGUAUCAAUAGUAAUUUUAAAACCAUAUUAAAACAAGUUUGGCCUGGAAUAGCCUGAAAAAAUUUUGCAACAAAAGCAAUUUGCGAUUUGGAACUGUCCAUUUUGUACUUUUAAUAUAGCUUCCAGUGAAAGCAUUGAAUCUGAAAGCAGUUUAUUUAUUUUAAAAUUUUGUUCUUCUUUCAGACGUCAUUAACAGUGCAUAAAAAAGUCAUGAGAAUUUCUGGCAAGAACAAUGUUAAAGAGUUGAAGAAUUCGGAACUUUUUUUGUAAUUUUUGAGGAUAAUAGUAGUAAAGGGUUUACCAUAUAACAGAAAUUUCUACAAUAGAAAGAAUCUUAAAUUCGCAACUCAAAAUAAUAACAACACAGACUGUGAUAAAUAGCAACGCAGAAUGUCGGGCGAUCUACUUUGAAAAAAAAAGUUUUUUUCCAAUCCGCCAAAUAAUUAAUAUUUUAAAUACUUUUAAUGAGUUGAUUUUACAAUAUUGUACUCAGGAAAAAAAAAUCAUAACGGAAAGAUGCAAAAAAUGGAAAAAUUU